RNAcentral lists this ribosomal RNA (483 nucleotides) under uncultured bacterium. RNAcentral's name for it is "bacterial SSU rRNA". It matches the Rfam family "Bacterial small subunit ribosomal RNA", at positions 9 to 504 of the family's 1533-position model. The record is from RNAcentral.
GAGUUUGAACCUGGCUCAGGACGAACGCUGGCGGCGUGCCUAACACAUGCAAGUUGAGCGGAGAUAUAUGGAGCUUGCUUUAUAUAACUUAGCAGCGAACGGGUGAGUAACACGUAGAUAAUCUAUCCUAUACUGGGGGAUAGCCCGAUGAAAGUUGGAUUAAUACCGCAUAUAGCUAUAUAGUUGCAUGAUUAUGUAGUGAAAGAUUUAUUGGUAUAGGAGGAGUCUGCGGCACAUUAGCUAGUAGGUGAGAUAAAGGCUUACCUAGGCGACGAUGUGUAGCCGGUCUGAGAGGAUGAACGGCCACAAUGGAACUGAGACACGGUCCAUACUCCUACGGGAGGCAGCAGUGGGGAAUAUUGCACAAUGGGGGAAACCCUGAUGCAGCAACGCCGCGUGAGUGAAGAAGGUUUUCGGAUUGUAAAGCUCUGUUAGCAGGGAAGAGGAAGGACGGUACCUGCAGAGGAAGCCACGGCUAACUAC